ACUCCUUGUGCCAUAUUGAUUCGCUGAACACGGAGAUUCAGAUCGUUUUUACACCACGCUUUACGGUUUCGCGUUACGUUUUUCACAACGCUAUGACAAACUGACGGGUAAUUCCUGUGUCAUUUUUGAAAGCGAACUCGGAGUAAAGGCCAGGCGAAAGACCGUAUAGUAUUGGUAUAAGUUUGCUAGAGGUUCAUUAAGAGAAUACAAAAACAGAACUUUGGAAGCAUUUUGUUGGUGACCAUGUUGAAAUUGGGAACUCUAUAUUUCGUCCUGUUCUGUUUUGCUUUCGUCGGUGUACAAGUUUCGGCACAGGAAGGUAUCGGGGAGUUGUUUAACCCUGUUGAUGACAAUGAAAAUGUAAACAACUUCUUAUCAAGAAAGCAAUGGAAGAGAUCGAGAAUAUCACCUCUUAUUCUUCACAUUCUGUCACAAAUGAACUCCAGGAUACAAAAUCAGCGCCCCUCUCGGCAUAUUCUGCUCGACAAACUCCGGCCGCAGAAACGACAGUUGCAAUGCUAUUGGUCGAUGGUCUCGUGUUUUUGAAACGGCUUGCCAUUGGCGAUCUAGCCGUCACGUGGUCUGCUGCCAGCUGUUUAUUGGUCGGAUUUAUUUCGAAAUGUAAUAUGUGUUAUGGGAUACUUCGUUAAUGCCUUUAUUUCGGAUUUUUAGAAGCUCAAGGUCUCAUUCUAGUGAUUAUAAAAUUAUUUCUGUUUCACAAAAUUUGAAGAAAACGUUUUCGUGACAUGUUGAGCAGGCAUAACAGUAAGGGAUCUAAGGUCCUAAGCUCAAAUAGAGAAUUUAAAUCAUGUUAAAUUUAUCAGUAAUUAGUUUCAAAAAUAUAGUAGUAUGUUUGUUUUGAUUAUUGGUAAUGAAUUUUAUUACCGGAAGUGGUAGUUUAUAUCGUUAUAUUACGAUUGGAACCGAGUGUAUAAUUCUGAUUUGUUUUCCGAAUGAACGCGGAACAUGGCGAAAUGUUACGAAAUUUACUGAUAAAUGUUCACUUCGCCUAUUUUUAUCAAACUUCUCCCCUUUCUUCUGGAAAGGGAGAAGCCACUUUUUUCCAUUAUAGAUUAGGGUCUGAUUAUGAUGACUUCUAAAUCGGGUUUUCUGUCAUUUUAAAAUAUGGGUGAAUUAAGUGGGGUCAGCUCUCUCCUGGACCGAGUUACUGGUGGGCCGGGGGAGCCCAUGUCUGAACCCUGAAUAAACAUGGGCAUGUGAAACUUAUGUAGAUUGGUUUAUGGGAGUAGGGAGUGACCUAUAGUCCUUCCCACAGAGAAGGCCUUUUUGUAUACUAUAGUAAAGUACUCUUAUAACGAACCAGAAGGGACCCUGGUAGUUAGUUCAUUAUAGCAGUAGUUCGUUGUACACAAUUGUACAAGUUGGUUAUUAAUGUAUAGGGAGAUAAAACGGGACUUUAAUAUCAGUUCGUUAUAUGCAGCAAGUCGUUCUAAGCAUGUUCGUUAUAAGUAUACUUUAUAGAAUUUACCACAAGUUAUUUAUUUCUCAGCCGAUUGUUUUCUAAAUUGCACACAAAAAUAAUUGUUGUUGGGCUGGGGGGGGGGGUUUCGGAGGGGGGCGGGUGGGAGUAUUUCCGAAACACUCUUACUUUUGUUUAUUACGUCAAACCAAACUGAAAUUAUUUACAAAACACAUUUUUAUAGGAGGAUGGGACAGACUAUAGUGAUCCUAUCUUUGAUACACCCUGCUUGCUUCCUCCUCCCCUACCUUCCGAUCACCCCUCCCUCCGAUCAUCCCUCCCUCGACGGUCCUAUUGCAAUCUGAUGGAACAUUACAAUAACCUGUUUGUUUUUUCUUUAAAAUCAGUGCCCGCAGUCACUUUUAAUUGCGGCUUAUUAAUAACUGCACAUGUUCAGCACUCACACUGGAAACAACUUUGUUUCAGCCGAUUUUCACAUUUUUAGAGAAAAUGUUGUUAGCCAAAUGCUAAAUGUUGUAGCCAUUUUGUAUUUAAAAAAUUAACAAGUGGCUAAUUUAGCAAUGGAGAGGGUGGGCCCUGGAUAUUGUUUUAUCUACCCCAGUUUUAAAACGGUUUUUUAAUUUUAAUUUUAAUUUUUUAUUAUUUUUUUUAUUAUUUUUUUGUUGUUGUAAAUAUCAGUUUCAUUUGACAGAACAAGAAAUGUAGAAGUGUUUUGGAAAGAAAACACCUUUAUUUCUGAGUGCAAUUUAAAAAAAAGAAGAAGAUUGUAAUGCACAUCAUAGUAAGAAAAUCAUUUGGAUUUCCGUUAGCUGUUUUUGUUUGUUUUGUUUUUAUGUCAGUUAAAAUGAUCAAUGUUUUGUGGACAUUUUAGGCCUAUUUUGACAGAAUUGUUACAUAUUAAAUUCUAUCAUGAAAAAUAUAUGUAAUAACAUUCUUUUUUCUUUCUUUUUUUGUUCAGUAUGUCACAAAGUUAGAUAUCUGUUAUGAAUAUGUGUAUCAGUUAUGAGUGAGUGUGUAUAUUAGUUGUGCGUAUAUUAGUUAUGAAUAUGUAUUAUCAGUUAAUGAAUAUGUAUUAUCAGUUAAUGUAUUGUCAUGUUACUCUUCGAAAUAAAUGAGAUCAAUGCG
Gigantopelta aegis is the source of this 2566-nucleotide long non-coding RNA. RefSeq lists it as uncharacterized. The record is from RefSeq and is a predicted model, not a curated record. NCBI's taxonomy places the organism in Eukaryota, Metazoa, Mollusca, Gastropoda, Neomphalida, Peltospiridae. The transcript has 2 exons.